This 865-nucleotide ribosomal RNA is filed under the name uncultured bacterium. RNAcentral's name for it is "bacterial SSU rRNA". It matches the Rfam family "Bacterial small subunit ribosomal RNA", at positions 640 to 1504 of the family's 1533-position model. The record is from RNAcentral.
ACUUGAGUGCAGAAGAGGACAGUGGAACUCCAUGUGUAGCGGUGAAAUGCGUAGAUAUAUGGAAGAACACCAGUGGCGAAGGCGGCUGUCUGGUCUGUAACUGACGCUGAGGCUCGAAAGUAUGGGUAGCAAACAGGAUUAGAUACCCUGGUAGUCCAUACCGUAAACGAUGAAUGCUAAGUGUUGGAGGGUUUCCGCCCUUCAGUGCUGCAGCUAACGCAUUAAGCAUUCCGCCUGGGGAGUACGGCCGCAAGGCUGAAACUCAAAGGAAUUGACGGGGGCCCGCACAAGCGGUGGAGCAUGUGGUUUAAUUCGAAGCUACGCGAAGAACCUUACCAGGUCUUGACAUACUAUGCAAAUCUAAGAGAUUAGACGUUCCCUUCGGGGACAUGGAUACAGGUGGUGCAUGGUUGUCGUCAGCUCGUGUCGUGAGAUGUUGGGUUAAGUCCCGCAACGAGCGCAACCCUUAUUAUCAGUUGCCAGCAUUAAGUUGGGCACUCUGGUGAGACUGCCGGUGACAAACCGGAGGAAGGUGGGGAUGACGUCAAAUCACCAUGCCCCUUAUGACCUGGGCUACACACGUGCUACAAUGGAUGGUACAACGAGUUGCGAACUCGCGAGAGUAAGCUAAUCUCUUAAAGCCAUUCUCAGUUCGGAUUGUAGGCUGCAACUCGCCUACAUGAAGUCGGAAUCGCUAGUAAUCGCGGAUCAGCAUGCCGCGGUGAAUACGUUCCCGGGCCUUGUACACACCGCCCGUCACACCAUGAGAGUUUGUAACACCCAAAGUCGGUGGGGUAACCUUUUAGGAACCAGCCGCCUAAGGUGGGACAGAUGAUUAGGGUGAAGUCGUAACAAGGUAACCGUA